This 251-nucleotide ribosomal RNA is filed under the name uncultured bacterium. Its description in RNAcentral is "partial 16S ribosomal RNA". It matches the Rfam family "Bacterial small subunit ribosomal RNA", at positions 57 to 305 of the family's 1533-position model. The record is from RNAcentral.
GCAAGUCGAGCGCGAAAGAAUUCCUCGGAAUUUGAUUAGAGCGGCGAACGGGUGAGUAACACGUGAAUAACCUGCCUUAAAGUUGGGGACAACCAUUCUAACGGAUGGCCAAUACCGAAUAUUGUGGAGAGUCGCAUGACUCUUUGACUAAAGCCUUCGGGCGCUUUAAGAUGGAUUCGCGUCGCAUUAGCUAGUUGGUAGGGUAAUGGCCUACCAAGGCAACGAUGCGUAGCCGGCCUGAGAGGGUGAUC